This 363-nucleotide ribosomal RNA is filed under the name Salmonella enterica subsp. enterica serovar Oranienburg. Its description in RNAcentral is "partial 23S ribosomal RNA". It matches the Rfam family "Bacterial large subunit ribosomal RNA", at positions 829 to 1190 of the family's 2925-position model. RNAcentral also lists the same sequence under 2 other names. The record is from RNAcentral. Lineage: Bacteria; Pseudomonadati; Pseudomonadota; Gammaproteobacteria; Enterobacterales; Enterobacteriaceae.
CCAAUCAAACCGGGAGAUAGCUGGUUCUCCCCGAAAGCUAUUUAGGUAGCGCCUCGUGAAUUCAUCUCCGGGGGUAGAGCACUGUUUCGGCUAGGGGGCCAUCCCGGCUUACCAACCCGAUGCAAACUGCGAAUACCGGAGAAUGUUAUCACGGGAGACACACGGCGGGUGCUAACGUCCGUCGUGAAGAGGGAAACAACCCAGACCGCCAGCUAAGGUCCCAAAGUCAUGGUUAAGUGGGAAACGAUGUGGGAAGGCCCAGACAGCCAGGAUGUUGGCUUAGAAGCAGCCAUCAUUUAAAGAAAGCGUAAUAGCUCACUGGUCGAGUCGGCCUGCGCGGAAGAUGUAACGGGGCUAAACCAU